GUGAAUUAGUCAGAAUUACUAGUGAAUCAUCGAAUCUUUGUAACGACACAUUGUCGCCCCUUCGGUAUUCCGGGCGGGGGCAUGCCCGUUCGAGCGUCAUGUAAAACCCUCAAGCCUGGCUUGGUAUUGGGGUCUAGGGACCAUCCCGGACCUCAAAUGCGUUGGCUAUUGAUUAGUAAAUGGGAGUGCUGUAGCAGCCGCCGUAACGACUUACUGGCGCGAAGCUUGCACGACCUGCCUUACGCGUUCGCAUCGGUCACGCACCGAACACAAGUUUGACCUCGGAUCGGGUAGGAAUACCCGCUGAACUUAA
This 313-nucleotide ribosomal RNA is filed under the name uncultured fungus. RNAcentral's name for it is "eukaryotic LSU rRNA". Lineage: Eukaryota; Fungi. The record is from RNAcentral.